AAAAGAAUAGUAGAAAAACGAAAAAUAUUAUACCCGAUGGCAAAACAGGCAAGAAGGGAAAAAAGGAAAGUACUGUUGGUUAGAGACAAGCUGUAUAUCGAUGGUAAUCUGUUCACUGCACCGAAUACUGAAAUAUCUGGAAUCGAAACACAACAAUACGCAUGUGCCGAUAGUAAUAUACUUCGGCAAGAUAUACCACAACGAUACUUUAACAAACGAUCAACACCAAGUCAUGAAUCUGAAUCUUCACACCACUAAACUAAUAUGUGCUGUACAUGAAAGCAACUUGUUCUAUUCAAAUGUGAAAAGGGAACAUUGUUUCGUCAAAAUAAUACUUUACAAUCAAACUUUUUUUUAUUUUAAAGACAAUCCGGUACAUAUUUAAAUAUUUCUAUGCAAAC
This 401-nucleotide long non-coding RNA is filed under the name Mytilus galloprovincialis (Mediterranean mussel). Lineage: Eukaryota; Metazoa; Mollusca; Bivalvia; Mytilida; Mytilidae. The record is from RNAcentral.